This 477-nucleotide ribosomal RNA is filed under the name uncultured bacterium. RNAcentral describes it as "partial 16S ribosomal RNA". It matches the Rfam family "Bacterial small subunit ribosomal RNA", at positions 899 to 1397 of the family's 1533-position model. The record is from RNAcentral.
ACUCAAAGGAAUUGACGGGGGCCCGCACAAGCAGCGGAGCGUGUGGUUUAAUUCGACGCAACACGCAGAACCUUACCCAGAUUUGACAUGCAGCUGCAGGCUCCGGAAAGGGAGCGGCCUUCGAGGGUGCUGCACAGGUGCUGCAUGGCUGUCGUCAGCUCGUGUCGUGAGAUGUUGGGUUAAGUCCCGCAACGAGCGCAACCCUUGCGGUCAGUUAUUCGUGUCUGACCGGACUGCCCUUCGGGGAGGAAGGUGGGGAUGACGUCAAGUCCGCAUGGCCCUUACGUCUGGGGCGACACACACGCUACAAUGCCGGCGAUAAUGCGCUGCGACACCGCAAGGUCAAGCGAAUCGCCAAACGCCGGCCCAGUGCAGAUUGGGGGCUGAAACCCGCCCCCAUGAAGGCGGAGUUGCUAGUAACCGCGCAUCAGCGAUGGUGCGGUGAAUACGUACCCGGGCCUUGUACACACCGCCCGU